ACAGCAGCCGCCGCGGUAAUACGUAGGUGGCAAGCGUUGUCCGGAUUUAUUGGGCGUAAAGCGCGCGUAGGCGGACAUUUAAGUCAGGGGUGAAAUCCCGGGGCUCAACCCCGGAACUGCCUCUGAUACUGGGUGUCUAGAGUUCGGAAGAGGUAAGUGGAAUUGCGAGUGUAGAGGUGAAAUUCGUAGAUAUUCGCAGGAACACCAGUGGCGAAGGCGACUUACUGGUCCGAUACUGACGCUGAGGUGCGAAAGCGUGGGGAGCAAACAGGAUUAGAUACCCCGGUAGUCCCUGUCUCUUAUAA
Molecule: ribosomal RNA, 305 nt
Filed under: uncultured bacterium
Lineage: Bacteria
Description: partial 16S ribosomal RNA
Rfam family: Bacterial small subunit ribosomal RNA
Source: RNAcentral